Molecule: long non-coding RNA, 5404 nt
Organism: Thunnus maccoyii (southern bluefin tuna)
Lineage: Eukaryota; Metazoa; Chordata; Actinopteri; Scombriformes; Scombridae
Exons: 3
Source: RefSeq, a predicted model, not a curated record
AAAGUUGCGCGUUUUGAAGCGUGUUGGCCGCAGCUCCAUUUAAGGAGAGGCUACAAUAAAUAAAUAAACAAAUAGACUAAAUAAUGAACGUAAUUCAUAACUUCUUUUACAUAUCUUGGAGAUAAAACUAUGUUAGGCGGCGGAACCAACCCAGGGAUUUUCAAAGUAAACGCAGCGUGUGUUACGGAGACGCACUGAACCGCUGCUGACGUCGACGUCACGUACAGGUGUGGGACCUCCGUUGGUAAUUCAUUGAGUGACUGCACCAGGAUAACCUGGAAACAGCCGGAGGAAACUAGCAGAUGAAAUUGGUUGGAGGGGAGUCAAUGUCAGACUGAAGAUGGGAACAGAGUGUAACAAGCUGACAAUUUAGUCUGAUAUCAGGCAAGUAUACAAACAAUACAGAGUGGAGUAAAAGGUUAAUGUGAUAUUUAUGAAUCCAGUACCUAAGAAUAGCACUGAACCACAAAUAUUUCCACUUAAGGUGUCAUAUAAACAUGACAAGUGGAGCUGUUACAUAAAUAUAGCGUAGUGGUAUUACUACUGGGAAUUAAGAGUUGUCUCUUAUCAGUAAUUGUGCUGAUUCAUUGUCUAAUCCUUGAAAACUUCACAUACACACACACCAACCAAACCCGUCUCACUAAAUCUAAUCCAGCGUCCUCCUCGUUCCCCCUCCAAUCCCUGGCAGCGGCACUAUCUCUGCCUGUUGAGACACAACACGCAGGGAGUCAAACAUGUGGGAGGACGGUGAGUUUGUCUAUGUAGUAUUUCUGACAAGGAAUGGCGGGUAAGCUUUCCCAGCCUUGAUGAGAUGCGUCAACAGGAUUUAUAAUCCUCUGUGCAGACAUUCAGACUAUCAUAUCUGUCUUCAUCCCAGCACCAAAAAUCACACACAUGUCCAAGGUUAAACAAUAUCUCUGAAGUCAAACUCCUGACUCGAGAUUAAUGUUUGCGCUCGCUAGUAUUGCCUGUUUCGGUUUCGACUAGCAGACAGUUUGGGGAAGUGCAAAGAGGGGCUAAGGUUGGGUUUUAGUUUUUGGACUUUGGACGAGGCGCCGAAACCCAAACACCUCUCCAGUGAGGGCAAAUAUUUGCUUUUGGCCCUUCUUUCCUUUUCCUUUUUCUACAGCAUUCUCCCUGCUGCUCCUCAGUAUAAACAUGUCCUCUAUUUUAUCCUGUUUUGUCUUGGUGUAGAUUGUGUUAUACUAAAGAUUUUAGUUUACAGGAUACAGUCAAGGAUUCAGACCCAGUACAGAUAACAACAGCAAGGUUGCUAAAGGAUGUUGUGCCUUAAAGGACAUCUUCUAUCAAUGUACCACAGCCAUGACCCUGCACUCUCUGUUUGGCAUAUGUGAGUUGGAUAUUGAGAUGACAUGACAAGAUUAAAGUUUCUCUUUUCAUAUUUUAUAUUGUGUCAGCUUUGCUAGAUGGUCUUCUGUGAAAAAUAACAGGACAGAUGGAAGAAGAAGAGACAGAUUCACACCAGAGCUGAAAGUGUAUCUGAUCUGAUGGUUUUAGAGUAAUGUGACCAGAAACAACGAACAGUCUUCUCUUUUCAUCUCUGGUUCUGACCACAUUCACAUGUUCUCCAGAUCACUGCCAUCUUAACUCUGCCUUUCGACCAGGAACAGAUAAAGAAGCUUUGAAUGAAUAGACACCCUCCAUUCAAAAACAACCACUAAAAGCAAACUUAAGAAAUGGCUUCAGGAUUACUGUCAACGAAAUUAACUUGGCUGCCAAACAUCCAUUGUGGACCACUUUUUAGGUGGCACUGCAUGAAAAUGUCGUUUCAUUUAGUUUGACAUUUUGAAUAUGCUUAUUUUCUUGAUUUUGAUGAGAAGGUUGAUUCAUAUUUAAGCCACAAAAGGUACCUAAAGAAAAUGGUGUGAUAUAAUUACUAAAUUUCAAAUUGCAAUCCCUUACUCUACUUGUUACUGAAAACGUAAUUACAUCACUAUACUAAUAAAGUAAAGGCCAAUCCAUGCUUUCUGCGUUCCACCUACGCAUCGGGGGUCAUGGCCACAAACACGUUCCAUAUGUAAGUACUAGUGAACUGGGUUGCAGUGUGAUAAAGUUGUAAAAUCCAGUCUGUGAAUAUUACAAACCACUGUGCAGUGAUCAGCGUUUAAACGCAAUAAUCUGUUACUCCUCUCUCGCACUUAAAACAAUACACCCACACCAUCACAGCCCCUUGUAUUGUGUGUUUACACAGGGCUGUUUUCAGUCUGAAUGCAGCUCAGGAGUUCCCGUAUGUUGCUGAACAACAAGACAAGGUUGAACAUAGAAAAGCAAAAUCUUAAUGAGAAUAGGAAUACAGUACACACAUACAGUAGACGACACAAGCGUGCCUGUUUACUUUUCUAGCACAUGCAUAGGUGGCGCGCUUGCAAUGCAUACAGUCUGCGUAGUCACAAAUUUUGGGCUGUGUGCAGAUGUCCAGAGGGGGGGCCACGUGGACCUUUGUCGACAUGGGAAGAUGAUGAAAUUUACAUCAUGCGGACCCUCACGGUCAUGUGGAUGCAGAGAACAUGAAUGGGUCAAGCCAAAGAUAUACUCCCAAGGGGACACAUAGUAGCUCUGUUUUUACUACUUUCUGGAGUUCGCCUGUAGGACGCAUUCCACACAUGUGCAGUAGAUAGGUGUCUGCAGUGUGACCACGCAUACAACAAAUCGGAGGUAUGUGGAUGUCCACACAGAGCCUACGCAUACACCUUCUGAUGACAAAAUUUACGUUACACUGUCCCUAGCAGACCCUUGCGUACUCACGGACGCAGAAGGUAUAAUUUCAGUUUUACUGCCCAUCACGCCCAUUGAGAGAAACCCAAUUGUGGGCUAAAGCAGGUAAGAUUUAUAUAUCAGUCAAAUCAGUCUUUCUCUCUGACAGAAUCUUACUUUGCACUCAACCCCCAACUCACAUAUUCAGAGAAUGUUUUUAUUGCGGUGAAGGGGGAGGGAGUUGUAACAGGAGGGGGCUCUUCAGUAUCCAGCAGACACCACAGUGCUAUGAUGACCUGCCUGUGUUCAGCAUGCAUGCACUGUUGUUCACAACAUGAACCCGCAUUGGCUGACAUUUAUAUUUUUUGGGUGAGAGAUUAAUUAUUACAGUGGUGGUGCAGAUACUGAGAGUUAACAAUGACAGCAAACAAACAUGCACAUUCCAUGCAGUGGGGGUGGGGAGGAGCUGAGGGAGAGAGGUUUGUUUGUUUUGUUGUUUCCAAGCCUCCAGCCUUUCUAUAGCCUCCAGCUUUGUGACCUCUACGACCGGGAAGGAUCAGUGAUUACAAUCAACACUAAUCCCAUACACACCAACAACAGAUAUUCUAAUCCCCGCUGUGACAAUCCUCCAUAAACCUGAUGUUAGACAAGUUUAGCCCAGGUGAUUUAUGACUCAGGAAUAGCCAGUGACCUGUGGUGGGACAGACAAUAACCCGCUGACUGACAGCUGCUGUUGAGCUUUCACCAAAAGGUAAACAUCUUAAUUCAUGUUAAUGGACUUCGGAUGUGCUUCUCGGUUUAGGAAGUAACAAUAAACUCUAUCCUUUCUUAGUGCAGCUAAUCGCCCGUAACUUGGGUGACAGUAGCUGAUGGACUUGAGGGAGGAAAAGGUUUUCAAGGUGUCCUGUGUUUGUGCACAUCAGUCACAAGGCAACUGCUUGCUCAGGAGCUUUUCACUGGCACAUUUUAACCUUGACUGCCAGACAACACAUAACAUUAAUAUAUAUAUGGUGGUUAUUAAUAGCACAAGUCACAAUUUAUUCACCAGCCCCAGGUAAAGAAAUCUCAUAGUCCAAUUGUGUGCUAUUUUUAUCCCAGUGUUCAAUACGUAUUUACAAUGACAACACGCAGCAAGGACUCAAAGUGACAUGAAAAAAUUAUUGUCGACCCAACAGUGAAGCAGAAGAUAAAUCUGGUUGUGACAGCAAAGGAUAAAGCUUGUGUUGAACUCAGCUUAAAUUUGGCCCCAGGACAGCCAUCCACCCGUUCCCUCUCUCUAACCUUGCUCAAAGGCACAACGACCAGCUGCGACUGACUAGCAUCAAGUCACACAGAGUCCUUGAUCUUUGGCUCUGGUCUACCACAGCAAAGUUGGGCCAGCACUGACAGACAGAGAAAAUCAAUAAUCGUUUAUGAUUGUUAUAAAAAGGUCCAUUAGCCAUCUAUCUUACUAGUCUGUUCAGCACUCUCCUGUCCUGAUCUUUUAGUGGUCAGAGAAGUCACACAUGGGCAAAGCACAUAUAAAUUUUGCAUCACGCAAUACUUUCAGAACUGCAUUCAAUACUUGUAAUGAAUUAUUAAUGGCGUAUACCCAUCGAUGAUCUUUAUGAAAAUAAGUGCAGUUCCAGUCAAUGUUUGAUUGUUUCAAAGUCAAAUAUCCUCUGUUUUAGAAGGUGACUCCUACUCUGCCAAAUGAGUUGUGGAGCAAAAUAAAGGCAAAUGGCAAAAAAAGGUAGUUAAAUGUACUUUUUAAGGUUUUAGUGAGCAGCUUCAGACCAUAGUUGACAAAAUUCAACUCCCAACUAUCAGCUGCAGUGACAUUAGAUGAAUAAUCUAUGAAAACUGGACAUUAAUCCAGUAAUACAAUGAUGAUUUAAUUCACUAUCAAUGAAUAGAAGCAUUUAUAGUUACCAUUUGGUGCUUUACGCACACAUCUUUCCCUGGCACUCAGGAAAUGAUGCAUUUUACUUGUGCAUCAAAGGCAGGAGCUGCUUGUUUGGAAUAAAUAAAAGAAAAAAUGGACAAACGGAGCUCUAUCUAUCCAGAUUUCAUCAAUACUUGCUUUAUCACAGGUUGAUGCUCAACCUGUGAGAAAUUCAGUGUAAAAACACCACGACAAUAACUGCUUCUUACUGAAAACAUCCCCAGACUUGAUAAUUGUUUUUCUUAAAUGGAGAGUAUUUUGUAUUAUACUGAUCUUAGUCUAAAUGGACCAAACUGAACUAGGAAUACAGUGCUGACAAAGUCCCAGGUGGCAGCGUGAAUGGGGACAAGGCCAGGUAUGACAGCUGGUGCUUGGAUCUUGCCCGUAUUGACUCUCAGCUAUUAGCAUGACCCCAUGUUGCUACAUGUGCCACGUGGAUGCCGUAUCAAAACAACAACAUCCCUCUGUUCCCAGAAACACACACAGCCAUACUGUAUAUCCUGACUCAUACUACCACAGAGCCGUGCACACACUGAGAUGAGACAUUCAGAUGAUUCUCAGUGAUGACAGUCUGCGAAAAGGUGGGAAAGAAAAAUGACUCAGGUAAGAUAAAGGCUUGAUAAAAUCAAGGACUUUUAUGUAACCAGGGAGCUACCCCUCGCCUAGCUAGCCUCUGUUCAUCUAUGGUUAAUGCUAAGAAAAUAAUGAUAAUGUUUUAUCCAGCCUGGUCUCGCCAAAUGUUGUAUGAAUAACAAUUUCUUAAAG